Molecule: ribosomal RNA, 484 nt
Filed under: uncultured bacterium
Lineage: Bacteria
Description: partial 16S ribosomal RNA
Rfam family: Bacterial small subunit ribosomal RNA
Source: RNAcentral
AUUGAACGCUGGCGGCAGGCCUAACACAUGCAAGUCGAGCGGAUGAAGGGAGCUUGCUCCUGGAUUCAGCGGCGGACGGGUGAGUAAUGCCUAGGAAUCUGCCUGGUAGUGGGGGAUAACGUCCGGAAACGGGCGCUAAUACCGCAUACGUCCUGAGGGAGAAAGUGGGGGAUCUUCGGACCUCCCGCUAUCAGAUGAUCCUAGGUCGGAUUAGCUAGUUGGUGGGGUAAAGGCCUACCAAGGCGACGAUCCGUAACUGGUCUGAGAGGAUGAUCAGUCACACUGGAACUGAGACACGGUCCAGACUCCUACGGGAGGCAGCAGUGGGGAAUAUUGGACAAUGGGCGAAAGCCUGAUCCAGCCAUGCCGCGUGUGUGAAGAAGGUCUUCGGAUUGUAAAGCACUUUAAGUGGGGAGGAAGGGCAGUAAGUUAAUACCUUGCUGUUUUGACGGUACCAACAGAAUAAGCACCGGCUAACUUCGUG